This 497-nucleotide ribosomal RNA is filed under the name uncultured bacterium. Its description in RNAcentral is "partial 16S ribosomal RNA". It matches the Rfam family "Bacterial small subunit ribosomal RNA", at positions 29 to 507 of the family's 1533-position model. The record is from RNAcentral.
AAUGAACGCUGGCGGCAUGCCUAACACAUGCAAGUCGAACGAAAGCACAGUGAGAGUUUGCUCCUGCGGGUGGCGAGGGGCGGACGGGUGACACAUGCAUAGGAUACCUCUAUUACGUGGGUGAUAACGUAGGAAAACUUCUGCUAAUACAGAAUAUAUCCUACGGGUUAGAGCAGGAGUUCUUCGGGCUUUUCGUGAUUGUAAUAGCCGAUUUCGGGUCGGAUUAGCUAGUUGGUAAGGUAACGGCUUACCAAGGCGACGAUGCGUAGCCGAUCUGAGAGGGUGAUCGGCCACACUGGAACUGAGACACGGUCCAGACUCCUACGGGAGGCAGCAGUAGGGAAUAUUGGACAAUGGGCGAAAGCCUGAUGCAGCAAUACCGCGUGAGUGAUGAAGGCCUUCGGGUCGUAAAGCCCUGUUGUUAGGAAAGAACAACAGUGGGUUUAUCCAUGGAUGUCUUGACGGUACCUAAAGAAUAAGCCCCGGCUAACUUCGUG